Callithrix jacchus (white-tufted-ear marmoset) is the source of this 104-nucleotide small nuclear RNA. The record is from Ensembl. Lineage: Eukaryota; Metazoa; Chordata; Mammalia; Primates; Cebidae.
UAAUUAUUAUUAAUUAAUUAAAUAAAAUAGGAACAAUGCAGAGAAGAUUAGCCAGGCCCUUGCACAAGGAUGUCAUGAAAAUGUGCAAAGUAUUUCAUAUAUUU